Long non-coding RNA from Pistacia vera, 570 nucleotides. RefSeq lists it as uncharacterized. Lineage: Eukaryota; Viridiplantae; Streptophyta; Magnoliopsida; Sapindales; Anacardiaceae. The record is from RefSeq and is a predicted model, not a curated record. The transcript is spliced from 3 exons.
UUUGCCCUAGCUUUUUCCCCAAAUUUCCCAAACACACAACCCAAAUUUCAUCUCUUCUCCACGCAUGUUUGCCCUCGCUGUUGCCCGAAUUUCCGAACUGUAGAACCUGACUUCAUCUUUUCCCCACGCAUCUUCAUCUCUUCGAUCUGACGCGUCUUCAUCUUAAUCGCUGUUGCCCAAAUUUCUGAACUGCAGAACCUGACUUCAUCUUUUCCCCAAGCAUCUUCAUCUCUUCGAUCUGACGCAUCUUCAUCUUAAUCGAUGUUGCCCGAAUUUCCGAACUGCAGAACCUGACUUCAUCUCUUCUCCACGCAUCUUCAUCAUUCAAUUGAUCUCCUUGGUUUCCUUCAUUCAUCGAAUACGAGGCAGCCCCUAACCUCCCUUUGGGAGAAGACUACAAGAAGGAAGAAAUGGAAAUAAUGAUGUGUGCGGCACGCCUCUGCCUCUUGCAUUCAUCUUCUAGAAGGCCAACAAUGAAGACGGAUCUGAAGCAAAAGCCGAAGUACUUGCUGACAAUCAUAGUUUGUCUGAAUCAGAGGCAAAAUAUUGAUAGAAUGGUUAAAAAGGUGU